Molecule: long non-coding RNA, 552 nt
Organism: Populus euphratica (Euphrates poplar)
Lineage: Eukaryota; Viridiplantae; Streptophyta; Magnoliopsida; Malpighiales; Salicaceae
Exons: 2
Source: RefSeq, a predicted model, not a curated record
UUCCCUUCCACUUCUCUCCUCUGCCAUCUCUCUCACUUGUUCCCUUCCACUUCUUCUCUCCUCUGUUCUCCCUGGUUAACUACCACCAUUCACUCCUUGAUUUUAGUCCUCUAAUAAUAAGAAAACAACCUUGCUAAUUUCUUAAUUUUCCCAGCUGAAGUUUUAUCUUCUUGCAAGUAAUUCCUUAAGGUAAUUCUAAAUAGCUAGAGCUAGCCAUGGUGAUGAUGGGACUUGAGAGGUUGAUGAUGUUCUUCAAAUCCAGAGUGAGGUUCUUGAAGAUGAAGAAACCUUAUGAUAAGAUUGAGAAGAGUGAGAGCAUGAGAGUUGAAAUAAGAAGCAGGAAGGCCAGGAAGCUCGUUGAAGAGACAUUGAAGAUCGCUGAUUCUCCAAGGACCAAGACGUAUACUUUCUGAUCAGUACUGUCCUUGAGUAUAUAUUGAACAUAAUAUUUACAUGUCCUUUCUCUUUUAAUUAUUAAUCUCGUCUUGUCUUCUGUUCCUCCAUGGCUAAGCUCUGUCAUGGAUGAUACAAUAGCACAGCUCCACCCCCCCC